GGGGCGGCGCGGAGGGCCGGGCGGAAGUGGGAGCCCGGCGGGCACCGCGCUCAGCCGGGCUGGGCAGGGCGGAGGCGGCGGCCGCGCAGGGACCGCUAGCGGCCGGGUGGCUGGGCCUGCGGGUCCGGCCGCCGCUUCCCGUCUCGGGCUGCAGUGCCGCCCGCGGCCGCGCGGGGGCGCGCUCGGCUGCCGGACAGCGCCGCCCUGGGCCGAGCCGGGCCGGGGUUCGGGUGGAGCAUGGCUGCGGCGCUCCUGCUCUGAGUCAGCCGUGCCUGGCUCCUCCAUGAACAAGGGAAAGGGGAAGUGCCUGCCGCAGGGAGGGGCCUAGCCCCGGGAACCUCAGAAGAGGGAAUUUUAUUCUUACUCAUCGAAUUAUUUUUAUGCUUUGGUUUUUCACUGGGAACCUCAGGCCUUUGUCUCCAGGACUUGUAACCCUUUGGGGUCCAAUGCAUGGGUGACAGUGCUGCUCAGAACUCCAGACCUGGAGGAGGAAGGGCUCUGUGCUUCCCUCAGCUCAGACCAGGGCAGCAAACAACAGCAUUAUCAUUAUCACUGCAAUUUACUGAACGCCUAUCACGUGCCAUUCACUCUGCUGGCAUUAUCGCACUGAGUCCUCAGUCUGUCCCAUUGAGGUGGGUACUGUUAGCCCGCAAUCACACAGUGGCACCGAUGGCAGAGCCGGGAUUCAAACCUGGAUGUCCCUGAACCCAGAGCAUGUGAUAGCCGCUCACUAAUAGGGCAGUGGGAGUCUGGCUCUCGUGUCCACUUUGCAUCCUUCUCUAGGAAUCAGCCAGAACAGUACGAUAUUCAGGAAGGGGCACAUGGGUAUUCACAUGGGCAGAGAUUGUGAAGGAGUGGGGGUCUCCAAGCCCCUGACCCGCACCUGCCUCCCUGGUAGCUCCCUUCAUCUGUCCUGUCUUGCCCUCCAGCACUGGGGCCUCUGAGGGCACGCUCGGUUCUCAUGCUGCACCCGGUGCCCUGUUCCACUUCACGCUCCAGUGUCUGCCCUUGCUAGAGCCCCAGCUCCUUCCAGGUGGGAUCAGCUUUCCUCUGAAAGGCCCUUGUCUGCCUCGCUCCACCAGAGCCAUAGGUCUGCCAGGAUGCCUUCCAGUGCCCCAUCCUGAGUUCUGAAGUGGAAGACCUGGGGUUGGUUUCUUUGCAAAGGGAGGAAGACACUCAGCACUCAGGGAUGCUGCUCUGGGAUCUCUAAGAUGCCCCUCCCCCUGCUAUAUGCAAAUCACUCAUCAUAUGCAAAGCACUUCACAAUAUACAAAUGAUUUCACAAUAACACAGUCAGCAUUCCUGCCUCUGGGGACUGAGGGCUGCUGGCCACCAGCAAGGGGGUAGGCAAGACUCAGUCAAAAAUGCCACUCGCUGCCUUCUUACUGCCCUUUCCUCUCACCUGGCCUAGAAUUUUCAUGGUCAGACUCCCUAAGGGAUUAAAGCAACAAGCGCAUUGCGGGUGUGAUGGGACUUGAGAAGAUGACCAUCAGCAGGGAGGGCCAGGUGGAAAGACGCGGUGGGUGUGUUCCACGCAAGCCAUGAAAUGCUCUGCUCUCUUCUCUUUUCCUUGCUGUCCGCGGGGCUGGAGGAGCACAGGCCUCCCCAGGCACCGGGCCUCGGCCUCAGUGGACUGCCAGCUCCUUCGGAGAGUGGAGCCCAGGGGGGCCAGAAAUGGGAGGCGCCGGACUUGCUGCUGCCGAUGUGGAAACAGGGGCAGCUGCAGCCCGGGCGGCUCCGGGCUGGGCGCCCCGACCCUGCCCAGAGGGGCCCAAGCGGGCCCACCACCCCGCGUCCCUACUAGGGCAGAGGAUGGCCUGAGUUACCCCCACACCAUCCUUCCCAUCCCCAACAGCUUCUCCAAGAGGAAGGGACCAGGCGGGGCCUGGCACUCAAGGCCCAGCAGGUGGUCCAGGAGGUCAGAGGUUAGGGGUGAGAGCUGUAGGCCAGGAGUCCGGCCAUGCGGCCUCGGCUCCAUCCUUCACUCACCGAGUGCCUUUGGCCAUCCCUGACCCACUCCAAGCCUUGGUUUCCCCUUUUGUUUAGUGAUCUUGGCACCCAUGAUCUAAAAUCUCUCACCUCUUCCUGCCCCAAUUCUGACAUCCCUUGACUUGUACAUCCCAAGAGACUCAGCUUUGGGGACACACUGAGCAUGGAGGUUGGGACCCUCAGAGUGGGUCUGACAGAGAGGGGACCUGGUGAGACUGGGGGGAAGGAAAGGGCAUACCAGGCGGGGAAUAGACUGGAACAAGGCUUGGAGGCGGGAAGACCAGGACCAAGUCUGGGAGACAGGGUGUCAACGGGACGGUCAGAGAGUGGGAGGUGGCAAGGUUGAUCCAGAAGGAUUCAAAAGAGGGAGAAAGAUUUUUAGGAAACUGUUUAUUCCUGCAAACCUUAAGAAAGGGUUUGACAGCCCUCAUUUGGAGGGUGGGGGCAGGGCCAGCCCUUCCUGUCCGCCAAGGAGAUGGGUGCCCAUGUGGUGAGCUGGGGGGGGGCCUCGCAGGGCCCCGCUCCUUCCCCCGUCUGUCGGUUGUCUGGAUUCCACCGUGAGGGCCAGGCCUUAGGAAUCUGCUCACCCUCUUCGUGAACGUGUUUGUUUUGCUUUUAAGCUGCUAUUGCAAGAAGGGGAGGGGAGAUGACUUCGCUUCUUGUUGAGUUUGCUGACUGUAUCUGACUUCUGGAGAAAGAGUUUCUUUGCGGGAAGGCCAAGCCCCCUGGGAAGUGACCAGUCCUAUGACUGAGUUCAGCCACCCCCUUGAUCCAGAAGGUUCUCAGAUGCCCUCCCCACACGUAGCUCCCCCGGCAUCUCAAGGCCUGCCCAUCACAGCACAAGGACUGGUUCCAGCCAUGGAGGCAUGGGGAUCCCAAGACCAGAGGCCCAGCCUGAGGGGCCAUCUAGCCGGCCUGGCCCCCACCAUCCUGUCCUCUGCCUUGGUGCCCUGGGCCGGCCCAAGUGCUGAGUUGGCGGCCCAGCAGCUGCUUCUGCCCACGGAGGCCCAGUUAUAAAUAAGCCCAGUGUGGCCAAGUCAUCAAGUUCUGUCUCAGCUGCAUUACCUCAGUGACCACAGGUUGGGGCUGCCCAGAGCUGGGCCCACCAGAACUUGCCCGCCCAGACCAAAGGCCAGGCCAACUUGAUACCUCCUGGGGUCCUCAAAUCCAGGGCUUGAGCAUCUGCAGCUGCUCAGACCUGGGCCUCCCUGGACACAGGCCGCAGAAGGGGCAGGGCCCAUCCCGCCUGCACGGAGCCAGCAGCUAUUUACAAACCGAAACCGGGAGAAGUGAAGUAGCUGCGGCCGAAGUGGCUCCAGGCCCCCAGCCCCACAGCCCCCACUCCCACUCCAUCCCCGGCAGCCCCAUCCCCCUCUCCCCAUGGCUUCCUCUUUCCUUCCCCACACAGCUCCCCAGCCUCCCACUGCCCGGCCAGCUCUCUCUGGACAACCGGAUGGCACCUCGCAGUGACCCCCAACUCCACAGCCGCCGGCUUGCGGGUCCCCUUCUCCUUUUCGCCCCCGGGACCCCAUCAGUCUGGGUUCCCUGGAGCAGCCCCCUCCCACCCAGGCCCAGCCCACCCCAGCCUGCCCAAGGCACAUUCCCACAGUUCUCAGUUCCCCUUGGUGUUUGGAAAAGCUCCAACACCAAUGGCCGCCCCGGGGCUACCCGGCCCUGCCUUAGGACAGCUUGUCUGGGCGCCCUCAACCUUCACAGGGCCCAGGAGUCGGAGGGCUGCGGUGGGACUUGGGGCACCUGGGGCCUUCGGGGAGCGUGUUUCUGGCAGGAGGCCCCAGCCAUCAUGCUCUCUGAGUGGGUUUCAGCCCGCUCAUCAGGCUGGGGUGGCUCACAGGCCCUCGUGUGGUACAGAACUGAGCUGGGACAGACAGACACUGGGCCCAGACCACAGCACAUGCUGCUUUGGAGCUGGCAGAUGGGACAGUGCUGCAGCGGGAGACCGCUUCGAGGAGCGACAACAGACGACAUCAUUAAUACUCGUUACUACUGAUAGACAAAGUCGGUCACAUCGGUGCAGAGACUCCCAGUUACAUGAGUCAGUUCUUUCUGUCCCCAGAGCACGCCUAUCCCAUUAUCUCCAUCAUAAAGUGGAAACUGAGGCUCAGAGGGGAAGCCACAUGUCUGAGGUCACACAGCUAGAAAGUGUCUGGAUUGAGAUUGGAGAUCUCCUGACACUCAAGCCCCUUCUUUCUCCAUCUGACUCGGCUCCUUGCUCAAUCUUAUACCUCAGUCUCCCUCCUGGGACGAUAGAAGUUUCCCAGGGCUGUGACAAAGGCAGAAGCAGGGCUGGCCUGAAGCUUGAGGCCUUGGACAGCAGAGUUCUCAGUUGCCAUCCCUGGCCAGGCCAUCAGUGCCCAGUGCCCCUGUCUUGCCCCGAGGGAAGGGUCUCCCUGCCCCUCCUCCCAAGUCGCAGCUGAGGUAAGAGCUCUGGCCUGAGCCCCGCUCAGCCACAGCCAGCUGGCUGAUUUGAAAUUAACCUCUCUGAGCCUUAGAAUCCUCUUCUGAGAAAUUGUGAUUUCACAAACACCGAGCAGGUACUCAGUGCCAGCUCUAUGCUGGGUGCAAGCUGUCUCUAAAGCUAGGACAUGGCCCCUGCCCACAGUCCUGUGGAGAAGGCAGAUGACCUAUAAAAUCUUGAGACCUCCGAGAGGGAAACUGAGGCUGUGGGACAUGCAGAAGAAGUGAUGAGUGCUCCCUGGGGUGGGGAGGGGUGGCACUUGGCAUGGACCUUGAAGGACAGGAAAGAGUUCCGCAGCAAAAGCAAGGGGACUGGCUUUCCAUGCUGAGUCACACUCCUAUGCCUUAGCUCCAGUAGUUCCCACGCCCGAGUAUCCUUCCUUCCUCUGGGCCUGGUGAACUCCUACCCAUCCGUCAGGGCCCAUGGACACACCAUAGCAUGACCAGGCUUGGCCUGGCCUGGUGGCUCCUUAGCUCCCUUUUCCCACCCAGCGCCAGAGCAGAUCGGGAGGCCAGGCCUCUUUGGUCACAACGCCCUCGCCAGCCCCACCCGGGCAGGCGUCUGCUCCCGGGCUCCAGCCCCCGCCGUCCCCUGCUCCGAAAAGCACCGUUUCCCUUUUCUGGGUGACCACACGCCAUGCACAGGGAAUUUCCAUCGCAGCCUGCGGGGCCUCUGAUUCACCCAGGCCCCUCAUGCAGUUAACUCCUUCUGGGCCCGUGCCUCCUGCUCCUGCACCCCGCACUGCCCCCCAGCAAGCCGGGGCCCCCUGGGCAGCCUCGAACUGGCCUUGGGCCCCACAUCCUGGAAGUCGAAGGCAGCCUCUCCCUCACUGGCCCCCUCAGGGCCCUCUCGCUCCCCUCCUAGGCAGAGACCCCUGUCCAAGGAGACAUGGCACACACCCCGAGCCCGCUCUGGGCUGGGAGCACCAGCGUUGGAGUAAGAUCAGCCUGGGUCCCAUCCUGAUUCCGGCCCCUUCUGCUCUGUGACCUGGAGCAGUGCCUGCGUCUGCUCUGCGCCCCACUUCUCAUCUGUAAAAUGGAGAUCAUUCCAUCCCACGGCCUUGUUGUGAAGGUUCAACUGCCGGGCCCCUGGUGGCAGCUCAGUAACAAAUACUUUUCCCUUCUGCUUCUCAAAGCGCCCCUCUCAUCCUGUCCCGGGGUCCCCACUCCACACCUGGGCCCCUUUUCUCCCUCUGGCUUCCCUGUCUCAAGAGCUGGUGGCUCAGACGGGGAGGGUGAGAGAGAAGUGUGGGAAGGGCAGAGGAGGGGAGGUCGCUGUCUCACGGCUCCUCCACCAGCUUCCCAGCUCCUUGCAUUUCUCAGUUUUUCCAAGGAGGCUGUGGAGAGGCCAGGGGUCGGGAACUCUGAAGGGCUGAAGGCUGCAGAGAUCCUGAGCUCCCGGGGACAGGGUGAGCCUUCCUCCCUCCCGAGGGAUGCUGGGCACACACAUCACCCUCAAGCAUCAUGCCUGCUACCUCAUCUAAUUCUCACGACAUGCCAGCUGCAUCUUAUUAGUGCUCCCUUUUGUAGAUGAGGACAUUGAAGCCCCGAGGAGUGACUUGUCCUCAGCCAGCCAGCCAACCAAGGGAAGGGACAGGAUUCAAGUCGAGGUCUCCAGAGCCACACUCCUAACCCCCAGAAGGCUCAGUAAGCAUGUGUGGAGGCCAAUGAGGGAAACAUGCACUAAUUGAACCCCUGCUGUAUACCAGGAAAAGGCUUACAAAUCUCUGUCAGUCCUUUGAACAAUGCUGGGAGAUGGGUCUUGACCCCCCCCCCCACACACACACACACACAAAAUGGAAGCCUCUGAGCUUUGGCUGGGGGAAGGAAUUCGUCCAAAGGCCAUCGGGCGAAUCACGGGGAAGGGUCCAGGGGUGUUGGGGGCUCUGCAGAGAAGGGGACCUGGGGGAAGCGGCUCCUGUCCUCAGUGAGAGAGCAGAGGUGGGGGGGUGCUGCCCGUGGUGAGCAGAAGGAAGUCACUGUGGGUGGCGGUGGGUUUGAGGUGCCGGAGGCUGAGUGAUGUGGCGGGAGGUGAGCUCCCCGCUGCAGGCCUGGUCAGCAGGAGACGAGCGUGCGGUGGGGUGGCCGGGAUUUGGGGCACGGCGGAUCUCUGUCCCCUGGCCGCUGGGGCUGGGGAGCAGGCGGCAGGAGCUGGCGCAGAGUGAGAGGAGGGACUCGGGGGGCUGGAGGGCUAUCUGGGGAGGCAGCCUGGAGGAGGUGAGCCCUUGAAAGACGGAGGCCUUAGGGUGUGGAAGGGGGUGGCCUGUGAGCAAAGGCCGUGGGAGAUUGAGAAAGAGGUUCUGGGAAUGUUGAGCAGUAUCUUCUGGCUGGAGGUGGGGGUGGGGCGGGUCCGCGUGGGUGGGGGAGCGGGGAGAGGCUGCUCAAUUGGGGAUGUUGGGGGCUCCUGCAUAGGCCUCAGAGAUUUAGACUCCAGCCAAGCUUCUUGGGUAGGGAAAUACCCACGGGACAAACUCCACAUGGGGACAGCGGAAGCACAGGCCCCGGAGCCACUCAGAGCAGCAGUCACCUCUCACCCCACUCCAGGCUGUGUGUCCUCGGGCACGCCCCUCACCACUCUGAGCCUCAUCUCCCUCCUCUGUAAAAUGGCACUGAUCCUCAAACGCCUGCCUCACAGGAUUGUGGGAGGGGGGUGAGUUAACACAGAUAGACAAGGGGCUCAACUAAUGUCUGCUCCUCUUCCCCUGCUGUUCUCAAGGCCCACAGCACCUGCUGUGGAUACAGCUGGGGUCUCAGGCAAACCGAGGCUUGAGCCUCACCUGUACCAGAUUGGCUGAGCCCUGCUGUGCAAGGCAUGGACCACUUCUGAGCCUCAGUUUCUCCAUCUGUCCCCCGGGGAUGAUAAUGGCACCAACUUCAGAUUCAACGAAGAGAGAAUGAGCCCUGCCACGGUACCCUGUUUCACCCCAAAUCAGAACCAAAUCCCACACAGUGCCCCCAAGGCCCUCCCUGCCCCAGCCCUCACCUCUCUUGCCUCACCUCCUGCCCCUGGCUCUACUCACAGCGCCCCCCUCGCUGCUCCUGGUUUGUGCGUUUGUAGGGGAGGUCCCCUGCCUGGAGCUCCGCUCCCACAUACCUGCUGGGCUCGCUCCCUCACUUGCUGCCACAGUUUAUUCAAGUGUCCCCUUCUCGGUGAGGCCUGUCCUGCCCAUCCUCUUUAAUAGUGCACACUGUCCCCGCUGUCCUACUCUGCUCCUGCCUGGGGUCCCCGCCACCCAGCGAUAUGCUCUCUUUCUUAUAGUGAUGUUACUCUAACAUGCAGUGAAAUGCCCUCAGCUACUAAGCUACCCCCUGUCUUCCCUGCUUGAGGACAAGCCCCAUGAGGACAGGCAUCUUUGCCCGUUCAGGUCGCCUGGCCCCAAGAGGCCCUGAGUCAACAUUUGCUGGAUGUCCCAGAGCACGAAGGAGCCAGCCCAGUGCACUGACCCGACUCGAGGAGCUCUGAGGGGCCCAGGCGACCCAGACUGGGGCUCAAGGAGCCUCUCGCAGUGUCUCAACCGUGAGAGGAAGUUGCAAGACAGCCAUUUCUGUACACGGGUUCAGCUCUUUUUGGUCAACUUUCCCAGCUCUUGGCCUGAGGCCCGACUUUCCCCACAUGCCCCGUCACUCCCCGUGGGGACCGAUGGCUGGGAAAGUGGGAGGGGGCGUUCCCUCAUUUGAGAGCUCUUCGGGGCUGAGGUUGAGGGUGCGCGAGUGCGGGGGUCGUGUCCCCCUCUGUGCACUCAGGUUCGAGGGUACAGCACCCACAUUUCCUGUUGUCUGCGUACCCUGUGAUUGCAAUAGCACCCAGACUCCCUCUUCAGCGGCCCAGCCCAGUGCGGGCAAAGGGCUGCCCAGCCCUCCACCAACUACCCCAGGCCUGCCUGGCCUCGCCGUUGCUCUGCAGGGCCCAGCCCUACAGGGCCACCUACUUGUCCAGUGGGCUGGGGAGACAGCACUGUCAUGUGCUGCUGGGAGGAGGGUAAGUGGGUACAACUUUUGUCAAGGGCAGUGUGACUGUCUGUCAUCCGUCUCUGUCUAUCACUUAUCAUCUAUCUCAAAAUUUAAAAUGCAGUACACCUAAAACUAAUACACUAUUACAUGUCAAUGAUAUCUUAAUUAAAAAAAUAUAUGUCUGACAUUAAAAGAGGUGAGUCAAAAAUUCCUGUGCACUUAUGUUAUAAAAUCUAGAUAAAUGAGCUGGUCUCUUCUCCAAAGAGUUAUGAUAGAGAUGUCUCAUUUUCACUAUUACUCAUAAUUUAAGGACUUUUAAUUUCUAUUUAAGGUAAUUUCAGAUACUACUUGUUGGUGUCUAAAGGGAGGUGCACAAGGUUGUAUUUGGUUGUGGUAAUUUCCUUUUCAGUAUCAAUCUCUUAUUUGUCAAGAUGAGCCUUGAAAAAUUAAAUACAGAAAAAAGAGAGUUUAUCGUAUUUUAGUUUCCCUUCAAACAUUUACAGUUGUCUUUUGGCAUCUGCCGAGGAUUUGUUGCAGGACCCCUUUAGAUACCAAAAUCCACGGAUGCUCAAGUCCUUUAGUCGCCCUCCGUAUCCGCGGGUUCCGCAUCCACGGAUCCAACCAACCGCGGAUCGUAAGCAUGGUACGUGUAAACACGGUCCGGACCGAUCCGCAGUUAGUUGAAUCCGCGGGUGCAGAACCUGCGGAUACAGCGGACCGGCUGUGCUUCCACAGGAGUAGGCUUUUCUCCUACAUUGUUUUCAUCUAAGGCAAAAGAAUACGUUUUGUUCUUCACUGUUGAAGGAUGCUUUUUUAGAGACAAACAAAUGUAAAAGCAUGAGAACCGCUACCUUGAGCUGGCGCUGUAGUCCGUGUAGCCCAGGGAACGUUUAACUCAAGUCUCCUCCCAACUAUUCCAGCUACUCCCCUCCAGCUUCCUGCAAAGAAAAAAAAAAAGCACUGCCCUUUGACCCAGCAUUUCAACUUUGGGGAAUUUAUCCUAGACA
This is a long non-coding RNA of Equus caballus (horse), 9422 nucleotides long. RefSeq lists it as uncharacterized. NCBI's taxonomy places the organism in Eukaryota, Metazoa, Chordata, Mammalia, Perissodactyla, Equidae. The record is from RefSeq and is a predicted model, not a curated record.